AUACGGAAGGUCCGGGCGUUAUCCGGAUUUAUUGGGUUUAAAGGGAGCGCAGGCGGAGAUGCAAGCGUGACGUCAAAUUUCGGGGCUCAACCCCGUCUCGCGUCGCGAACUGCGUCCCUUGGUUGCGGGAAGGGGAGGCGGAACUCGUGGUGUAGCGGUGAAAUGCAUAGAUAUCACGAAGAACUCCGAACACGAAGGCAGCCUGCCAGCCCGUUAACGACGCUCAUGCUCGAAUGUGCGGGUAUCAAACAGGAGUAGAUUCCCUAGUCGUACGCACAAUAAACGAUGGACUCCCGCGGUUGGGCCUGUAUGACUGAGCCGCCAAGCGAAAGCGUUAAGUGUCCCACCUGGGGAGUACGCCGGCAACGGUGAAACUCAAAUGAAUUGGCGGGG
Molecule: ribosomal RNA, 393 nt
Filed under: uncultured bacterium
Lineage: Bacteria
Description: partial 16S ribosomal RNA
Rfam family: Bacterial small subunit ribosomal RNA
Source: RNAcentral